RNAcentral lists this transfer RNA (88 nucleotides) under Burkholderia cenocepacia. Its description in RNAcentral is "tRNA-Ala(cgc)". The record is from RNAcentral. Lineage: Bacteria; Pseudomonadati; Pseudomonadota; Betaproteobacteria; Burkholderiales; Burkholderiaceae.
CGGCGCGUGGGCCGGCGUCGCGGUCGCCGCGCUCGCGACGCGCGCGAUCGGGUCGAUCGACGCCGUGUUCGCGCUCUGGUUCGCCGGC